GGAUCAGCGGGUCGGUCGUGCCUCUGGUACGUACUGGCCUCACUGGUUCCUCCCUUCUGAAGAACCACGAUGUCAUUAAUUUGGUGUUGUGGGGAAUCAGGACUGUUACUGUGAAAAAAUUAGAGUGUUUAAAGCAGGCUUAAGCUUGAAUACAUUAGCAUGGAAUAAUGAAAUAGGACG
Molecule: ribosomal RNA, 180 nt
Filed under: uncultured Glomeromycotina
Lineage: Eukaryota; Fungi; Glomeromycota
Description: partial small subunit ribosomal RNA
Rfam family: Eukaryotic small subunit ribosomal RNA (bases 47-180)
Source: RNAcentral